CUGGAGAGGUAUGAAACAUUUUUGAAAUUUUAAGGAGUUUCAUCGAAGUUUUAAAAUUUGUUUUUGGAGAGAGAGAGAUUUUCCUCAAAAAAAAUUAGCGCCAAAUUUGCCGGGAAGAUUUGAAAAUCCACCUUCUUCGGUCGUCAGUCACGAGAGUUCAUACCGAGAGAGAGAGAGAGAGAGAAUGGUGCGACACUCAAUUCCAGAUCUCCACGCACAUGAUUUCUUCCAGGUUCCAGGUUCUUCGUGCUCGCUUUCAAAUCUUUCUGAGCCCCCUGAUAUAAGAAACUGGUUUUCAAGCUAUGUGUAUGAAUCUCCGGAGUUGGAUACAACUGAUAACCCUGGUUCAUUUCUCGGAGGCACUGAAAGUCAGAAAGAGGGUUUUGAGGUUGAAGAAAGCAAAAAAGAAGAAAAUGAGAAUUUUGAAGAGUUCAAAGAAACUAGGAACAGUGACGAGUUGUCUGUUGAUGAGAAGAGGGCAUCAGGCCCUGUUAGCGAUGAUAUGCAGGAAGAUCUGUCUGCAGAGGUUUUGGGUUCAUACCCACUUCCACUUCCUUCGGAGCCACCUGACAUAAGAAACUGGUUCUCGAGUUAUGCAUAUGAAUCGCCUUUAUUGGAUAUAUGCAAGGAUUUUGGGUGUUCUGUUCCUAGAGAAGGUGAAUGCAAGAAAGAUGGCCUCAGUGUCAGAGACAGUCAUAGAGAAAAAGAAAAUAAUUUGGAGGUGUUAAUAACAAAUAAAAAAGAGGAUGAACUGUUUUUUGGUGAGAAAAUAGCUUCAAGCAGGUUUGUUAGAUGCGAAAGAUCUGUCAGAGAUGAUCAAAUUGGCACUGAGUUACUAGAUAAGGGCGCUGUUGGGUUUGAGGGGAAGAAAAACCUGUCUGGUCAGAUUAAUUUGUGUUCAGAAAAUAUAUCUGGUCAAUGCUUGGAAACAAAAGCAUUACAGAACUAUGACUUUACUUCAAGCUUGUAUAAUGAAAAUAAUUUAUGGGAGAAGGAUGCAAAAUCAUCCAGAAAAAGAAAUCCUGUGUUGAUUACUGAUGUUAAGUCACAUAUAGAAUCUCCCAAGAAGUUGCUCAACAAAAGGGGUUGGAUAGAAGAGGCUUCUGAAGUGAAGACCCAUAUGGAAAGAGUUAAUACAAUCUUCCCUGUAGAUUAUAUGGAUGAGAAUCUAGUUGUCGGGAUCUCAGGAAGGAAAACUAGAAGAAGCAGUGACAAAGAAAAUGGAGGACAAGCCCUUGCAGAAAAUAGUUUCAUUUCGACAAGGAAGGGAAAAAGUAUGGGAGGAAAUGAGAUAAAGUCACUGAAAAGACUAGAAAAUGUUGAAUUCGAGCCACUGCGAAAUACAGGAGCAGUUUCUUCAGCUGGUGAAAAGAUUAAUGCUGUGCCAAGAAAGGUGUUAUUGGAAACAACUAAUUUUCAACACACUGAUGAGCUGGAGAUUGCUGGGAAAUGGCGGUGUCCCCAGAAAGGUAAACCGAACCUUGGACCUCCAUUGAAGCAGCUUCGACUUGAGCGGUGGAUUAAUCGGGUAUGAGAGCAAGCACAAUGUCUAGGAGAAGGCCAACAGCAUCAGGUCAAUCACAUGUGAACUUGUGGUAUGAUGUUCUGCCUAGAUGGCAUACCAAUACAUUGUGUUGCUUAAUUAGUUGAUCUUUCCAGAUGGAUGCCGAGGACUAACAUUAUUCAGUUGGACUCAAGAUAUUCAACUGGUGUGGAAUUUUGUUUCCGACUCAUCUCCACCUGAAUUUGAUACCUUUCGUUUGCUUCUUCAAAUCAGGUCCAAAGCUUAAUUUUACUCGUUUGGCAGUUACCAUUAAGUUAUAAGCACCAAUAAACCAAGAGGUCUAUUGUGUGAGGUCAGUUUUGCGGAGCAGUUGAACUUUCCAAAGAUCAUAAUGCAUUGUUAUAUGAAGUAGCCUAGUGCAAAUGCCGGUCAAGAAGGCUUUCAUUUUUCCUUUUCCCAAUAUCAAAAUGAAUGUGACAGCUCGGUACAAUCAGAAUGCAAAUGCUUCUUUUAAAGAAUGUUAAUGAGCCAAUGACAUGAAAAUUUGGGUGAGCAACUCCCUUGAUGUUAACAAGUGGUUUGAGAUGGCUCACGACUAUGGGAAGGGUAUUGGGAGGGAUAGUUUGGUGUGGCCACCCUUGUGGGAGCAUUGGGUAGGUCACUAGACCUUCAAAAAAAAAAAAAAAGCAAUCCGAGUUCUACACAAGCAAGCAGUCAAAUGGUGUUUUGAAUUCAUUUAUAGUAAACACUAAUUGGAUACAGAUGAUAUGCAAGAUGUUUUUCUUUAUUUUUUUUAAUAAAAUUAAUUAUAUA
Malania oleifera is the source of this 2317-nucleotide RNA transcript. RefSeq lists it as uncharacterized. The record is from RefSeq and is a predicted model, not a curated record. NCBI's taxonomy places the organism in Eukaryota, Viridiplantae, Streptophyta, Magnoliopsida, Santalales, Ximeniaceae. The transcript has 7 exons.